CUGUUUCUUCACUGAUUUGCACAUCUUUUGGAGAGAAAUGUAUAAACUUUUCAAGUUCAGGUGUGUGUAAAUUUGCUUUCAUGACUCCACUUUCAUCGGCAAUCAAAACAGUUAACCUUGACCUAAAGGAAAUUUCAUAGGACAGGUAACAAUCCAAGUUGUGUCGGCUUCUAUAGACUUGAAGCAGUUGGAACAGGCAGUGUAUGAUAAGUUACGUUCUUGUUCAGGAAGACUCAGGGUGCCUUUCACCCAAGCAGUUUUCAUCUAUUUUAUAUGUGAUGUAAAUGUAGAUGAAACAAAUUACAUAUGAAACAUAAUUGUAAAAAUGAAUUUUUUUAAAGUCAAAAAAUAGCUUACAGUGUCGAAA
Molecule: long non-coding RNA, 367 nt
Organism: Lactuca sativa (garden lettuce)
Lineage: Eukaryota; Viridiplantae; Streptophyta; Magnoliopsida; Asterales; Asteraceae
Source: RefSeq, a predicted model, not a curated record